UACGUAGGGCGCAAGCGUUGUCCGGAAUUAUUGGGCGUAAAGAGCUCGUAGGCGGUCUGUUGCGUCUGCUGUGAAAACUCAGGGCUUAACCCUGAGCUUGCAGUGGAUACGGGCAGACUAGAGUGCGGUAGGGGAGACUGGAAUUCCUGGUGUAGCGGUGAAAUGCGCAGAUAUCAGGAGGAACACCGGUGGCGAAGGCGGGUCUCUGGGCCGUAACUGACGCUGAGGAGCGAAAGCAUGGGGAGCGAACAGG
This 253-nucleotide ribosomal RNA is filed under the name uncultured bacterium. RNAcentral describes it as "partial 16S ribosomal RNA". It matches the Rfam family "Bacterial small subunit ribosomal RNA", at positions 524 to 776 of the family's 1533-position model. The record is from RNAcentral.